GAAAAAUGUAAACCAGGCUGUUAUGAUCUGUUAUGAUCCGACAAGAGUAGGAAAAGGGUAAAUCAGGCUGUUAUGAUCUGUUAUGAUCCGACAAGAGUAGGAAAAAUGUAAACCAGGCUAUUAUGAUCUGUUCUGAGGUCUGAGAUCUGAGGGCCAUCGUAAAGACCCUUACAAGGUAAGAAAAGGUCACUAGGUGUGCUUUGGUUGGCGGCAAGAGGGUCCUCUUUUGGUGGCGGGAAGUGGGCGUCCUGGCACGUGGGUAAUGCAGUAAUGGGGGGAGGUGUGUAGGGUACGGGGGCGGGGUAUUGGUCUGUCGGUCAAACCCACAAGCCCUCCUAGUCUGCAGACCUUUCGGCCCGUUACUAGCAAAUUGACGCCCCUGAGUUGCGCGCGGUCACGCUCCUUGGUUACGUGGGGACGCCCAGUUCUCUCGUCAUGCUGUUGCAUGAAUUGUGUUAUCAAUUCAAAUCCAAAUUGGAUUAAGGAUAUGUUAUUAUCCUAGUAGUUGAGGAUCGCUCAUUUUUCAUAAUUUAGAUUUGAAUUUAAUAAAUGUGACCUUUUCUAACGCCAAA
Long non-coding RNA from Bombina bombina (fire-bellied toad), 572 nucleotides. RefSeq lists it as uncharacterized. NCBI's taxonomy places the organism in Eukaryota, Metazoa, Chordata, Amphibia, Anura, Bombinatoridae. The transcript is spliced from 2 exons. The record is from RefSeq and is a predicted model, not a curated record.